Molecule: ribosomal RNA, 253 nt
Filed under: uncultured bacterium
Lineage: Bacteria
Description: partial 16S ribosomal RNA
Rfam family: Bacterial small subunit ribosomal RNA
Source: RNAcentral
UACGGAGGGUGCGAGCGUUAAUCGGAAUUACUGGGCGUAAAGCGUGCGUAGGCGGUUGCACAAGCUUGAUGUGAAAGCCCCGGGCUCAACCUGGGAACUGCAUUUGUGACUGCAAAGCUAGAGUGCGGCAGAGGGGGAUGGAAUUCCGCGUGUAGCAGUGAAAUGCGUAGAUAUGCGGAGGAACACCGAUGGCGAAGGCAAUCCCCUGGGCCUGCACUGACGCUCAUGCACGAAAGCGUGGGGAGCAAACAGG